ACCCAACUCAGAUGAUGAGGACGAUGGGGAUGAGAAAGAAGAUGACGAGGAGGAUAAAGACGACGUCCCUGGGCCCUCAACUGGGGGCAGCCUCCGAGACCCUGAGCCAGAGCAGGCUGGGCCCAGCUCUGGAGUCACGAACAGGUGCCCGUUCCUCCUGGACAAUUGCCUUGGCACAUCUCAGUGGCCCCCAAGGCGACGACGCAAGCAGCUGUUCACCCUGCAGACGGUGAACUCCAAUGGGACCAGCGACCGCACAACCUCCCCUGAAGAAGUCCAUGCCCAGCCGUACAUUGCUAUCGACUGGGAGCCAGAGAUGAAGAAGCGUUACUAUGACGAGGUAGAGGCUGAGGGCUACGUGAAGCAUGACUGCGUCGGGUACGUGAUGAAGAAGGCUCCCGUGCGGCUGCAGGAGUGCAUUGAGCUCUUCACCACUGUGGAGACCCUGGAGAAGGAAAACCCCUGGUACUGCCCUUCCUGCAAGCAGCACCAGCUGGCAACCAAGAAGCUGGACCUGUGGAUGCUGCCGGAGAUUCUCAUCAUCCACCUGAAACGCUUUUCCUACACCAAGUUCUCCCGAGAGAAGCUGGACACCCUCGUGGAGUUUCCUAUCCGGUCAGGGGCCAGGGAGAGGAUGGCUGGGGGAAGGCAGGGAAAGGAGGGGGUGUACCAGUAUUAACCCUCUCCCCACCCACAGGGACCUGGACUUCUCUGAGUUUGUCAUCCAGCCACAGAAUGAGUCGAAUCCGGAGCUGUACAAAUAUGACCUCAUCGCGGUUUCCAACCAUUAUGGGGGCAUGCGUGAUGGACACUACACAACAUUUGCCUGCAACAAGGACAGCGGCCAGUGGCACUACUUUGAUGACAACAGCGUCUCCCCUGUGAAUGAGAAUCAGAUCG
Molecule: small RNA, 900 nt
Filed under: Pan troglodytes (chimpanzee)
Lineage: Eukaryota; Metazoa; Chordata; Mammalia; Primates; Hominidae
Description: retained intron
Source: RNAcentral